GACGGAGGAUGCAAGCGUUAUCCGGAAUGAUUGGGCGUAAAGCGUUUGUAGGUGGUUUCUUAAGUCUCCUGUUAAAUAUCAGGGCUUCACCCUGGGCAGGCAGUGGAAACUAAGAAGCUUGAGUACGGUAGAGGCAGAGGGAAUUCCCGGUGUAGUGGUGAAAUGCGUAGAUAUCGGGAAGAACACCAAAGGCGAAAGCACUCUGCUGGGCCGAUACUGACACUGAGAGACGAAAGCUAGGGGAGCGAAUGGG
This 253-nucleotide ribosomal RNA is filed under the name uncultured prokaryote. Its description in RNAcentral is "partial 16S ribosomal RNA". It matches the Rfam family "Bacterial small subunit ribosomal RNA", at positions 524 to 776 of the family's 1533-position model. The record is from RNAcentral.